This 1298-nucleotide ribosomal RNA is filed under the name Streptomyces griseorubens. RNAcentral's name for it is "bacterial SSU rRNA". It matches the Rfam family "Bacterial small subunit ribosomal RNA", at positions 127 to 1428 of the family's 1533-position model. Lineage: Bacteria; Bacillati; Actinomycetota; Actinomycetes; Kitasatosporales; Streptomycetaceae. The record is from RNAcentral.
UGCCCUGCACUCUGGGACAAGCCCUGGAAACGGGGUCUAAUACCGGAUACUGACCCGCUUGGGCAUCCAAGCGGUUCGAAAGCUCCGGCGGUGCAGGAUGAGCCCGCGGCCUAUCAGCUUGUUGGUGAGGUAAUGGCUCACCAAGGCGACGACGGGUAGCCGGCCUGAGAGGGCGACCGGCCACACUGGGACUGAGACACGGCCCAGAUUCCUACGGGAGGCAGCAGUGGGGAAUAUUGCCCAAUGGGCGAAAGCCUGAUGCAGCGACGCCGCUUGAGGGAUGACGGCCUUCGGGUUGUAAACCUCUUUCAGCAGGGAAGAAGCGAAAGUGACGGUACCUGCAGAAGAAGCGCCGGCUAACUACGUGCCAGCAGCCGCGGUAAUACGUAGGGCGCAAGCGUUGUCCGGAAUUAUUGGGCGUAAAGAGCUCGUAGGCGGCUUGUCACGUCGGUUGUGAAAGCCCGGGGCUUAACCCCGGGUCUGCAGUCGAUACGGGCAGGCUAGAGUUCGGUAGGGGAGAUCGGAAUUCCUGGUGUAGCGGUGAAAUGCGCAGAUAUCAGGAGGAACACCGGUGGCGAAGGCGGAUCUCUGGGCCGAUACUGACGCUGAGGAGCGAAAGCGUGGGGAGCGAACAGGAUUAGAUACCCUGGUAGUCCACGCCGUAAACGGUGGGCACUAGGUGUGGGCAACAUUCCACGUUGUCCGUGCCGCAGCUAACGCAUUAAGUGCCCCGCCUGGGGAGUACGGCCGCAAGGCUAAAACUCAAAGGAAUUGACGGGGGCCCGCACAAGCGGCGGAGCAUGUGGCUUAAUUCGACGCAACGCGAAGAACCUUACCAAGGCUUGACAUACACCGGAAAGCAUCAGAGAUGGUGCCCCCCUUGUGGUCGGUGUACAGGUGGUGCAUGGCUGUCGUCAGCUCGUGUCGUGAGAUGUUGGGUUAAGUCCCGCAACGAGCGCAACCCUUGUCCCGUGUUGCCAGCAGGCCCUUGUGGUGCUGGGGACUCCCGGGAAGACCGCCGGGGUCAACUCCGGAGGAAGGUGGGGGACGACGUCAAGUCAUCAUGCCCCUUAUGUCUUGGGCUGCACACGUGCUACAAUGGCCGGUACAAUGAGCUGCGAUACCGCAAGGUGGAGCGAAUCUCAAAAAGCCGGUCUCAGUUCGGAUUGGGGUCUGCAACUCGACCCCAUGAAGUCGGAGUCGCUAGUAAUCGCAGAUCAGCAUUGCUGCGGUGAAUACGUUCCCGGGCCUUGUACACACCGCCCGUCACGUCACGAAAGUCGGUAACACCCGAAGCC